Molecule: small nuclear RNA, 18 nt
Filed under: Arabidopsis thaliana (thale cress)
Lineage: Eukaryota; Viridiplantae; Streptophyta; Magnoliopsida; Brassicales; Brassicaceae
Description: snRNA_00605
Source: RNAcentral
AUCUUCCCUGUCUCGGCC